GUGCCAGCAGCCGCGGUAAUACGGAGGGUGCAANGCGUUAAUCGGAAUUACUGGGCGUAAAGCGCACGCAGGCGGUCUGUUAAGUCAGAUGUGAAAUCCCCCGGGCUCAACCUUGGGAACUGCAUCUGAUACUGGCAGGCUUGAGUCUCGUAGAGGGGGGGGUAGAAUUCCCAGGUGUAGCGGUGAAAUGCGUAGAGAUCUGGAGGAAUACCGGUGGCGAAGGCGGCCCCCUGGACGAAGACUGACGCUCAGGUGCGAAAGCGUGGGGAGCAAACAGGAUUAGAUACCCUGGUAGUCC
RNAcentral lists this ribosomal RNA (298 nucleotides) under uncultured microorganism. Its description in RNAcentral is "partial 16S ribosomal RNA". It matches the Rfam family "Bacterial small subunit ribosomal RNA", at positions 505 to 796 of the family's 1533-position model. The record is from RNAcentral.